This 94-nucleotide microRNA precursor is filed under the name Corchorus capsularis. RNAcentral's name for it is "pre miRNA mir-166". It matches the Rfam family "mir-166 microRNA precursor family". Rfam says of the family: This family represents the plant microRNA (miRNA) precursor mir-166. Animal miRNAs are transcribed as ~70nt precursors and subsequently processed by the Dicer enzyme to give a ~22nt product. In plants the precursor sequences may be longer, and the carpel factory (caf) enzyme appears to be involved in processing. Lineage: Eukaryota; Viridiplantae; Streptophyta; Magnoliopsida; Malvales; Malvaceae. The record is from Rfam by way of RNAcentral.
GUUGAGGGGAAUGUUGUCUGGUUCGAAGUCAUUCAUAUGAAUCUUGAAUUAAUGUCUUUUGAAUGAUUUCGGACCAGGCUUCAUUCCCCCCAAC